AUUGCUUCUCGGCCUUUUGGCUAAGAUCAAGUGUGUAAAAUCAGCCCACAAUAUAAAUAUAUAUAUAUAUAUAUAUUUUUUUUUUUUACAAGCUCUCCCACCAACCCUAGCAGGAACCACCAAAAGCAGUUGACUAGAAGGCACUUGUAUCUCAAUUAGCAUUAUUAAUCAUCUGGUAAUGCAUAGCCUUU
Molecule: small nuclear RNA, 191 nt
Organism: Ochotona curzoniae (black-lipped pika)
Lineage: Eukaryota; Metazoa; Chordata; Mammalia; Lagomorpha; Ochotonidae
Product: U2 spliceosomal RNA
Exons: 1
Source: RefSeq, a predicted model, not a curated record